This 446-nucleotide ribosomal RNA is filed under the name uncultured bacterium. RNAcentral describes it as "bacterial SSU rRNA". It matches the Rfam family "Bacterial small subunit ribosomal RNA", at positions 29 to 475 of the family's 1533-position model. The record is from RNAcentral.
AAUGAACGCUGGCGGCGUGCUUUACACAUGCAAGUUGAGCGAGGCCACCCGCAAGGGUGAGUCGAGCGGCGAACGGGUGAGUAACGCGUGGAUAACCUGCCCUGAGGUGGGGAAUAACCCGGGGAAACUCGGGCUAAUACCGCAUGAUACCUAGCGGUCAAAGGGGGCUCGCAAGAGCUCUUGCCACAGGAGGGGUCCGCGUUCGAUUAGCUAGUUGGUAGGGUAAUGGCCUACCAAGGCGACGAUCGAUAGCCGGCCUGAGAGGGUGAUCGGCCACACUGGAACUGAGACACGGUCCAGACUCCUACGGGAGGCAGCAGUGGGGAAUUUUGCGCAAUGGGCUAACGCCUGACGCAGCAACGCCGCGUGGAGAUGAAGGUCUUUGGAUUGUAAACUCCUGUCAGCAGGGAAAAAGGGAGGGACCUAAUACGUGCCUGACUUGAUUG